UUUUUCUAGCAGGGUAUUACAAACUAAACACCAUUAAAAGUAAACAAAUUAAAAUCACUCUGCAACGCCGGGGGCUACCACUACAUUGGCAAACGCGCAACACUAUUUCCUUAGUUCCACAAAUGAACUACAAGCAUCAUACAAUACAGGACUUGAAAUACCUAGUAAUACAUGAGCUGUUGGGUGGUUGCAAUAUUUUGAAACCCACCAUCAUAUAUAGUUUGACUAGUGCCAGCACCACCCAUCCCAAUUCCCAUCCCCAUUCCCAUGGCUGCCUGCUUGAGGGCAUGCUGAGCCGCCUGUGGAUGCAUUAGCGCUUGUGCUGCACCCAUUUUGCUCAAUGCCAUUUGUCGCUCAUACGCAGCAAGUUCGGCUGCAGACAGACCUGGCAUGUGUCCCACAUUUGGUGGAGGAAGAGGAGUAGAAUUAGUCCCUGGCGGG
This 441-nucleotide unclassified non-coding RNA is filed under the name Hevea brasiliensis (rubber tree). The record is from RNAcentral. Lineage: Eukaryota; Viridiplantae; Streptophyta; Magnoliopsida; Malpighiales; Euphorbiaceae.